Molecule: unclassified non-coding RNA, 25 nt
Filed under: Mus musculus (house mouse)
Lineage: Eukaryota; Metazoa; Chordata; Mammalia; Rodentia; Muridae
Description: oocyte_clustered_small_RNA11351
Source: RNAcentral
UAUCUACAGUGCCAUGCUAGUGAGU